CCCGCCACUAUGCCUGUCUAAUGGUGACUGAGUAUGAUCCAGUGGAGGCUCAGAUUGACCCAGCUUUAGGAAACAGGGCUGCUCAAACUAAUGGACAAUGACUCUGUGCCGAAAGUUUGGAACAUAA
Small nucleolar RNA from Betta splendens (Siamese fighting fish), 127 nucleotides. Ensembl annotates it as small nucleolar RNA SNORA65. The record is from Ensembl. Lineage: Eukaryota; Metazoa; Chordata; Actinopteri; Anabantiformes; Osphronemidae.